GCUGUCGUGGCUCAGGGGUAGAGCACUUGCUUGGUAAGUAAGAGGCCGUGGGUUCAAAUCCCACCGUCAGCACCA
RNAcentral lists this transfer RNA (75 nucleotides) under Sulfurimonas sp. Its description in RNAcentral is "tRNA-Thr". It matches the Rfam family "tRNA". From Rfam's summary of the family: Transfer RNA (tRNA) molecules are approximately 80 nucleotides in length. Their secondary structure includes four short double-helical elements and three loops (D, anti-codon, and T loops). Further hydrogen bonds mediate the characteristic L-shaped molecular structure. tRNAs have two regions of fundamental functional importance: the anti-codon, which is responsible for specific mRNA codon recognition, and the 3' end, to which the tRNAs corresponding amino acid is attached (by aminoacyl-tRNA synthetases). tRNAs cope with the degeneracy of the genetic code in two manners: having more than one tRNA (with a specific anti-codon) for a particular amino acid; and 'wobble' base-pairing, i.e. permitting non-standard base-pairing at the 3rd anti-codon position. RNAcentral also lists the same sequence under 4 other names. The record is from RNAcentral. Lineage: Bacteria; Pseudomonadati; Campylobacterota; Epsilonproteobacteria; Campylobacterales; Sulfurimonadaceae.